GCGCCCGUAGCUCAGCUGGAUAGAGUACUUGACUACGAAUCAAGGGGUCGCCUGUUCGAAUCGGGCCGGGCGCGCCA
This 77-nucleotide transfer RNA is filed under the name Desulfobacter latus. Its description in RNAcentral is "tRNA-Arg". It matches the Rfam family "tRNA". From Rfam's summary of the family: Transfer RNA (tRNA) molecules are approximately 80 nucleotides in length. Their secondary structure includes four short double-helical elements and three loops (D, anti-codon, and T loops). Further hydrogen bonds mediate the characteristic L-shaped molecular structure. tRNAs have two regions of fundamental functional importance: the anti-codon, which is responsible for specific mRNA codon recognition, and the 3' end, to which the tRNAs corresponding amino acid is attached (by aminoacyl-tRNA synthetases). tRNAs cope with the degeneracy of the genetic code in two manners: having more than one tRNA (with a specific anti-codon) for a particular amino acid; and 'wobble' base-pairing, i.e. permitting non-standard base-pairing at the 3rd anti-codon position. The record is from RNAcentral. Lineage: Bacteria; Pseudomonadati; Thermodesulfobacteriota; Desulfobacteria; Desulfobacterales; Desulfobacteraceae.